CAAGUCGAACGCGAAAGUUCCCUUCGGGGAGCAAGUAGAGUGGCGCACGGGUGAGUAACACGUAGGUAAUCUACCUUUGGAUGGGGAAUAACAACCGGAAACGGUUGCUAAUACCGCAUAAUGCAGCGGCACCUAAUGGUGACAGUUGUUAAAGCGGGGGAUCGAAAGACCUCGCGUCUGAAGAGGAGCCUGCGGCGGAUUAGCUAGUUGGUAAGGUAAUGGCUUACCAAGGCGAUGAUCCGUAACCGGCCUGAGAGGGCGGUCGGUCACACUGACACUGACAUACGGGUCAGACUCCUACGGGAGGCAGCAGUCGGGAAUUUUGGGCAAUGGGCGAAAGCCUGACCCAGCAACGCCGCGUGAAGGAUGAAAUCCCUCGGGAUGUAAACUUCGCAAGAACAGGAAGAAUAAGUAAGGGUUAAUAUCCCUUAUGAUGACGGUACUGUUUGUAAGCUCCGGCUAACUCCGUGCCAGCAGCCGCGGUAAUACGGGGGGAGCAAGCGUUGUUCGGAUUUACUGGGCGUAAAGGGCGCGUAGGCGGCCACCGCAAGUCGGUUGUGAAAUCUCUGGGCUUAACCCAGAAAGGUCAACCGAUACUGCGGGGCUAGAGUGCAGAAGGGGCAACUGGAAUUCUCGGUGUAGCGGUGAAAUGCGUAGAUAUCGAGAGGAACACCUGCGGCGAAGGCGGGUUGCUGGGCUGACACUGACGCUGAAGCGCGAAAGCUAGGGGAGCGAACGGGAUUAGAUACCCCGGUAGUCCUAGCCUUAAACGAUGAAUGCUUGGUGUCUGGGGUUUUAUAGUCCCC
This 806-nucleotide ribosomal RNA is filed under the name uncultured bacterium. RNAcentral's name for it is "bacterial SSU rRNA". It matches the Rfam family "Bacterial small subunit ribosomal RNA", at positions 58 to 840 of the family's 1533-position model. The record is from RNAcentral.